UAGCUGCAUGUAUUCUCUCCUUAGAAUGUC
Molecule: non-coding RNA, 30 nt
Filed under: Mus musculus (house mouse)
Lineage: Eukaryota; Metazoa; Chordata; Mammalia; Rodentia; Muridae
Source: RNAcentral